UAACAAGGAUUCCCCUAGUAACUGCGAGUGAAGCGGGAAGAGCUCAAAUUUAAAAUCUGGCAGUCUCUGACUGUCCGAGUUGUAACCUGUAGAGGCAUUUUCUGCGUUGGACCGUGUACAAGUCUCCUGGAAUGGAGCGUCAUAGAGGGUGAGAAUCCCGUCCAUGACACGGACCCCCCAAUGCUCUGUGAUAUGCCUUCUAAGAGUCGCGUUGUUUGGGAAUGCAGCGCAAAAUGGGUGGUAAAUUCCAUCUAAAGCUAAAUAUUGGCGAGAGACCGAUAGCGAACAAGUACCGUGAGGGAAAGAUGAAAAGCACUUUGGAAAGAGAGUUAAACAGUACGUGAAAUUGUUGAAAGGGAAACGCUUGAAGUCAGUCGCGUUCCGUGGAACUCAGCCUUACUUCGGUUUGGUGUACUUUCCAUGUGAACGGGUCAACAUCAAUUUCGGCCGGUGGAUAAAGGUGAGGGGAAUGUAGUGUUGCUUCGGCAACGUGUUAUAGCCCCUUGUUGUAUACACUGGUUGGGAUUGAGGACUGCAGCACGCCCUUGUGGCCGGGGGUUCGCCCUACGUAUUGUGCUUAGGAUGUUGGCAUAAUGGCUUUAAGCGACCCGUCUUGAAACACGGACCAAGGAGUCUAACAUGCUUGCAAGUGUUCGGGUGGAAAACCCUUGCGCGUAAUGAAAGUGAAAGUUAGGAACCCUCGAAAGAGGGUGCACUGACGCCCGGCCCUGACGUUCUCUGAUGGUGCUGCGGUAGAGCAAGUAUGUUGGGACCCGAAAGAUGGUGAACUAUGCCUGAAUAGGGCGAAGCCAGAGGAAACUCUGGUGGAGGCUCGUAGCGAUUCUGACGUGCAAAUCGAUCGUCAAAUUUGGG
RNAcentral lists this ribosomal RNA (873 nucleotides) under Fulvifomes sp. LWZ-2012a. Its description in RNAcentral is "eukaryotic LSU rRNA". It matches the Rfam family "Eukaryotic large subunit ribosomal RNA", at positions 66 to 915 of the family's 3401-position model. The record is from RNAcentral. Lineage: Eukaryota; Fungi; Basidiomycota; Agaricomycetes; Hymenochaetales; Hymenochaetaceae.